RNAcentral lists this ribosomal RNA (376 nucleotides) under uncultured Nitrososphaerota archaeon. Its description in RNAcentral is "bacterial SSU rRNA". It matches the Rfam family "Archaeal small subunit ribosomal RNA", at positions 504 to 880 of the family's 1478-position model. Lineage: Archaea; Thermoproteati; Nitrososphaerota. The record is from RNAcentral.
UUGGGCCUAAAGCAUCCGUAGCUCGUUUUGUAAGUUUUCGGUUAAAUCCAUACGCUUAACGUAUGGGCUGCCGGGAAUACUGCAUAACUAGGAAGUGGGAGAGGUAGACGGUACUCGGUAGGAAGGGGUAAAAUCCUUUGAUCUAUUGAUGACCACCUGUGGCGAAGGCGGUCUACCAGAACACGUUCGACGGUGAGGGAUGAAAGCUGGGGGAGCAAACCGGAUUAGAUACCCGGGUAGUCCCAGCUGUAAACUAUGCAAACUCAGUGAUGCAUUGGCUUGUGGCCAAUGCAGUGCUGCAGGGAAGCCGUUAAGUUUGCCGCCUGGGAAGUACGUACGCAAGUAUGAAACUUAAAGGAAUUGGCGGGGGAGCACA